AGCGAACGCUGGCGGCAGGCUUAACACAUGCAAGUCGAGCGCCCCGCAAGGGGAGCGGCAGACGGGUGAGUAACACGUGGGAACGUACCCUUCAGUUCGGAACAACCCAGGGAAACUUGGGCUAAUACCGGAUACGUCCGUAAGGAGAAAGAUUUAUCGCUGAAGGAUCGGCCCGCGUCUGAUUAGCUAGUUGGUGAGGUAAUGGCUCACCAAGUCUACGAUCAGUAGCUGGUCUGAGAGGAUGAUCAGCCACAUUGGGACUGAGACACGGCCCAAACUCCUACGGGAGGCAGCAUGGGGGAAUAUUGGACAAUGGGGGCAACCCUGAUCCAGCCAUGCCGCGUGAGUGAUGAAGGCCCUAGGGUUGUAAAGCUCUUUUAGCAGGGAAGAUAAUGACGGUACCUGCAGAAAAAGCCCCGGCUAACUUCGUGCCAGCCGCCGCAGUAA
RNAcentral lists this ribosomal RNA (447 nucleotides) under uncultured bacterium. RNAcentral describes it as "partial 16S ribosomal RNA". It matches the Rfam family "Bacterial small subunit ribosomal RNA", at positions 29 to 523 of the family's 1533-position model. The record is from RNAcentral.